Molecule: ribosomal RNA, 501 nt
Filed under: uncultured bacterium
Lineage: Bacteria
Description: bacterial SSU rRNA
Rfam family: Bacterial small subunit ribosomal RNA
Source: RNAcentral
GAUGAACGCUAGCGGCAGGCUUAACACAUGCAAGUCGAGGGGCAGCAUGAGACGGAGAUUCGUCAAAGUCUUGAUGGCGACCGGCGCAAGGGUGCGUAACGCGUGAGCAACUUGCCCGUUUCAGGGGGAUAACCGGUGGAAACGCCGACUAAUACCCCAUAGUAUUGAUUUAAGGCAUCUUUUAUCAAUUAAAGAAUUUCGGAAACGGAUAGGCUCGCGUGACAUUAGCUGGAUGGCGGGGUAACGGCCCACCAUGGCAACGAUGUCUAGGGGUUCUGAGAGGAAGGUCCCCCACACUGGAACUGAGACACGGUCCAGACUCCUACGGGAGGCAGCAGUGAGGAAUAUUGGUCAAUGGACGCAAGUCUGAACCAGCCAUGCCGCGUGCAGGAAGACGGCUCUAUGGGGUUGUAAACUGCUUUUGACAAGGGUAACCUCGGUACUAGUACCGAGCUGAAAGUCUGUACGAAUAAGGAUCGGCUAACUCCGUGCCAGCAGCCG